This 114-nucleotide ribosomal RNA is filed under the name Amazona aestiva (blue-fronted amazon). Lineage: Eukaryota; Metazoa; Chordata; Aves; Psittaciformes; Psittacidae. RNAcentral also lists the same sequence under 1 other name. The record is from RNAcentral.
AGUCAGAGCCAGCAGCAGGGCCCACCUGAUCUCGUCUGAUCUCGGAAGCUAAGUAUGGUCAACUCAGUAGUACUUGGAUGGGAGACCACCUGGGAAUCCUGGGGGCUGCUAUUU